This is a long non-coding RNA of Meriones unguiculatus (Mongolian gerbil), 1710 nucleotides long. RefSeq lists it as uncharacterized. The record is from RefSeq and is a predicted model, not a curated record. NCBI's taxonomy places the organism in Eukaryota, Metazoa, Chordata, Mammalia, Rodentia, Muridae. The transcript is spliced from 4 exons.
GAGAACAUUGAUCUUUGGCUUUUCUUCUAAGACUGUGACAGUUUUUUUUUUUCUCAUAUUUUGGGCUUUGAUCCAUUUUGAGUUAACUUUUCUAUAAAUGUAUUUUUCUACAUUUGUUUGCCAGUGUGUGGGGGCCCCUGUUCCCACGGAGCCUCCAUAUGGAGGUCAGCAUGUGGGGGUCUGCUCUCUCCCUCCUCAGAUUGAAUGUGGGUCUCGCAGGACAAGUCCUUCGCUGAUGGACCCAUCUCUCCGGGCUCUGCCACUUCACAUUCAGAUCUUAGCUUUGUCCUGCACUGCGUGCUUGCUCGCUUGCCUCUGACCUCAGCCUAAGAUUCUACAAGGCCACUCACUCAACCUCUUCACCGUGGCAUGCUGCAUGUUCUCUCUCUCCCUAGCAGCUCCUGGGAUGGUCUUUGGGGCCUGCUGCAUAAGAUGCUACCUUGGUGUACCUUGACAUGGAUGUUGCUUUCCUGUUCAUUGUGUUGUAAUCUGAACUGUACCUGUUCCCUUGUUGGUCAGUGUUCUUAAGGACUUGGUAAAUUCUGCCUCUCCUCCUCGUCCCUCCUUCUCUGGAGGACUAUAGGGAUCCACUCCCCAUUGUGGCCCAUUUUCCCAUUGUUCUUGUUUGUGUUGUUUCUCGGCCAUUUUUUAAUGCCGCCAUCAAUCAUUUUACACAACAUAGUCGACAUUUUUAUCUUGGGAUCUUUUUCUUCAGUUAGUCAUCUUGUUCUGCUUCAAUCCACAGCGAUCUUUGUGCUUGCCUUCCCCUUAGCCCUCACUUCCAUCCAUACUGUCCCCUUUCCUGCACUUGCUGAAUCUCCCAGUGAAUGUCCUUUCUAUUGUGUUGCCAGGCAUUUCAGGCACUUAAAUAUUCACAGAAUGCCAUGUCCUACCCCAUCUCUUCCCAGCUAGGAUGACACUGCGGUGCAAUUAACCUCUUGCAUCUCUUAUAGCCCAUUUCCCAGUUUUCCAACUUGCUCCAUAUUUGAGAAAACCAAAGAGAGAGAGAGAGAGAGAGAGAGAGAGAGAGAGAGAGAGAGUCACUGCCAGCCAGAAUCCAGGAUUGCUACAAGGGAAGCACACAGAAGGGGAACAGAAGCACCAGUUACGUACAGUUGAAAAUGGAGAAUAUACCUCUCAGUGCCUGGCCCGAUCUCUACCAGCUUGCUCCAGCUGAAGGAAGAAACCAGCCAUGUGUCUGUGAACAGCAAACCUCACCAUCUUAGUGUCUUCUCGUGGAGCUGUGAUAAAAUACCACCAACCUGAGAGAGAGGAAUCCUGGCCCAUAGAGCAGUACAGGGAUUUACACGCUGCAAAACACUGUAACUUCCACAACAUUGUGGCCCAGACAAACUGACAAAUCAAAUGAACCAUGGAAUCCUUCAGCCACACCUGUGGGAGCCUGUUGACCUUCACAGCCAGGAAUCCUUGAAGCCUUCAGCUCUGCUGCAGAACUUCUCUGGGGUAGCCUGAAGCAAUUGCUUCCUGAAGCAUCCCAUCAUGCCCCAGGGAUAAUAACCAUGACAACAGAAUGAGCAUCAGGGUACCUUGUAAAUUCAUCAACAGGUCCAGCUUUUGUAAACAUGGAAUGAGUUAAUAAGAUAAAGGAAUCUCAGAAUUGCUCUGCCCCGAAUGUGUGCUUUCUAUUAUGACAUUUUAACAAUGCAAUAUAUGCUUAAAAGUAUGUAGGCACAUGGAACCAAACAGGAU